UGCACAUGCACACCACUCCUGGAUUGCUUCUAGAAGCAGGGCUGUCACCUUGAGUCAACUGGGACAGAACUUUCUGGAAAGUCAUCAGCAUUUCCCUGCGCUACCGUUGAUGCCCUCCAGUUCUUUCUGGCUGACUCCAGCCACCCUAAAGCCCUCCAUUCCUUCCCUGGCCAUGACACAGCAAAUCCUAGGGAGAGACCAAGGCUCGUGAGUGUCUUCAUUCCAAAUGGCCCCAGCCUGUGGGGUUAAGUGGGAUCUUCCAAGAGCUCUGAUUGGGGAAAGUGAGCUUGCGGUAACCUCAGGCUGGGUGUUCCUCCUGCAUGGGCCUCCUCAUCCUCUGUGGUAAAAUAAGAGAUGAUCUAAAAUAAGAUUGUAAUCGCCCUCUGGUGUUGCUUUGACGGCUGAUAUGCUAUUUUUUGUCUUCUCUGUUAAUAGCAUCACCAUUGCCACAAUAGCUAGCACUGAUUGAACAGCUGGCAUAUGCCAGGAACUAAACGCAGUGAUGGAGAUAACAGCAACUAUCAGGUAUUGAAUGCUGACAUCCACCAGCUGUGGCCAGUCUACUGAUUAUCUCAUUUAAUCCCCACAGCAACCUGACCAUCCCUACCAAAAGGAUGAGCAAGUAGGUUCCAUGCAGUAAGAUGGCCUCAUUCACCUGGGAUCUGAAUCCAAGAGCCAGGCUCCUGAUCAGUCGGUCAUGUCCAAGUCCCUACAGACCUAAGAGGAUGUGUGAAGAUUCUCAAGAUUGCCUCAAGAUUCUGUUCACUCUCUUGAGGCAUUCGUGUACUCCACAAACACUGUUUGGGACCUGGAGGUGCAGGUGAGUGAGACAGUGACCCUCACUUCAAGGACCUAACCCCUGUCAAUGAAAAAGUUAAUAUUCAAUCUAAGAAAGGAACUGAAUAUUUUAUUGGAGCCAAUUAUAAUCUGGGAGAUAGUCUUUCAGAACGCUCUAAGGACUGCUCUGCCCAUUAGAGGUCAAAACACGGUAAUAUAAAUUUUGAGACAAAGGUUAUAUGUCAAUGACUCAUUACUGACGGUUUACAUAAUCCAAAUCUACGCAUACAAAGAGUAUUGCGUCAUGGAUCAUCUUGGUCCCAAGCUGAGCCUGAAAAGGACUGUUAUCUCCAAAGGACGUCUAGUUAACACAGCUGUACAAUACUUACUAACAGGGAGGGAAUGGGCCCAAACAGGCAAAGAAAAAUUUUAUGUUUACAUUUUUCUUACCUUGCCAUAAAAUAUGAAUUUUAUGUCAUCACCCUUAAGAAGAGGAAGGCAAAUAUAGUGGCAAUUAAAUAGGAGGGGAAAUGCUUUGAUAACAAUAAGUACAAGACAUUGAGGGCACACAGGAGAAACAGCUAGCUUAGCCUAUGGGCGACAGGAGAGGUGCCCAGGAGGGAUGACCCUGUACCAAGGUGCACAGGACAAGUUACAGUGAA
RNAcentral lists this long non-coding RNA (1439 nucleotides) under Bos grunniens (domestic yak). RNAcentral describes it as "lncRNA (ENSBGRG00000015007.1)". Lineage: Eukaryota; Metazoa; Chordata; Mammalia; Artiodactyla; Bovidae. The record is from RNAcentral.